This 207-nucleotide ribosomal RNA is filed under the name uncultured bacterium. Its description in RNAcentral is "partial 16S ribosomal RNA". It matches the Rfam family "Bacterial small subunit ribosomal RNA", at positions 568 to 774 of the family's 1533-position model. The record is from RNAcentral.
CGCGUAGGCGGCUUUAUAAGUCAGAUGUGAAAUCCCUGGGCUUAACCUAGGAAUGGCAUUUGAAACUGUAAGGCUAGAGAUCGAGAGAGGAUAGUGGAAUUGCGAGUGUAGAGGUGAAAUUCGUAGAUAUUCGCAAGAACACCGGUGGCGAAGGCGGCUAUCUGGCUCGAUACUGACGCUAAGGCGCGAAAGCGUGGGGAGCAAACA